Molecule: ribosomal RNA, 495 nt
Filed under: uncultured bacterium
Lineage: Bacteria
Description: bacterial SSU rRNA
Rfam family: Bacterial small subunit ribosomal RNA
Source: RNAcentral
GAUGAACGCUAGCGGCAGGCCUAAUACAUGCAAGACGAACGGUAAGUUGAGUAGCAAUACUUAGCCAAGAGUGUCGUACGGGUGCGUAACACGUAUGCAACCUACCCUAUACAGGAGGAUAGCCUAGGGAAACCUGGAUUAACCCUUCAUAGUAUUAUUGGAUGGCAUCAUUUGAUAAUUAAAACUGAGGUGGUAUAGGAUGGGCAUGCGUCUGAUUAGUUAGUUGGCGGGGUAAUGGCCCACCAAGACGAUGAUCAGUAGGGGUUCUGAGAGGAAGAUCCCCCCACACUGGCACUGAGAUACGGGCCAGACUCCUACGGGAGGCAGCAGUAGGGAAUAUUGGUCAAUGGAUGCAAGUCUGAACCAGCCAUGCCGCGUGCAGGAAGAAGGCCCUUCUGGGGUUGUAAACUGCUUUUGCCAGGGGAUAAAAUUCCAUGCGUGGAAAACUGAAGGUACCUGGUGAAUAAGCCACGGCUAACUACGUGCCAGCAGCCG